Molecule: small nuclear RNA, 104 nt
Organism: Prionailurus viverrinus (fishing cat)
Lineage: Eukaryota; Metazoa; Chordata; Mammalia; Carnivora; Felidae
Source: RefSeq, a predicted model, not a curated record
GUAUUUGCUUUGGCAACACAUAUAUUAAAAUUAGGACAAUACAGAGAUUUGCAUGGCCCCUGUGCAAGUAUGACAUGCAAAUUUGUGAAGUGUUCCAUAUUUAA